ACAGUUCCUAAUUUGUCUCAAUAUUAAGUGAAAAAGGAAGUAGAAAGUGGCCCAGUUUGCAACUUAACUGGGACCAUAUAUGGUGUGGCCUGCCUGAUGGGUGAGGAGUUGAUUUGCCUGAGAUGCUUUACAUGGAGUUUCUGGUCAAGGAUGAAAGAAGGAAGUUUAUAGGUUAAAAGUGUGGGACGGAGAUGGGGUCAGCCUCUUGGGUUUAGUUAGAUCUGAGCCCUACAAGGGAAGAACCAUGGGCAGAGGCCGGAGGAGGUAUUUUAAAAAACUCCUGUAAAGCCAGGAAGGUCCUUCUCCUUCUUGGAGAACACAGUGUGGUUUCGACAGGCACUGACAAGUCUAAGGAAUCCAAAAGAGUGGCUCAGGCACACAGACAACUGACAAGUUUGGAAACUUUGGCCUUCUCACUGGAAGCACUGACAUCUGGACACAAAUAUAUACAGAGGGAAGACCAUGUGAAGGGACAAAUAAAUCAGCCACCUACAAAUCAAGGCGGGGAGCCUCAAAGGAAGCCAACCCUGCUGACUCCUUGAUCCCAGACUUCCAGCCUCCAGAACUUAAGGAGAAGACACUGCAUGGAGUUCUACUUUCGUGACCAUGUUCCUGGAACUGCACCCAAGAUGGGGAUCCGCUAAGAUGAAGAUCCACUUGCAGAUGAGUCAUAGCUAGCAGAUCCCUAAUGCUCCACCUCUGUCCACUGAUCCUAAUCCCUGCUGAGUUGAGGACUUUUCUCAAAAUGCCAUCCUUCCUUUAGAAUCUAUUCCCGACACCCUCUUUGGUCUUG
Ictidomys tridecemlineatus (thirteen-lined ground squirrel) is the source of this 793-nucleotide non-coding RNA. The record is from RefSeq and is a predicted model, not a curated record. Lineage: Eukaryota; Metazoa; Chordata; Mammalia; Rodentia; Sciuridae.